This 74-nucleotide transfer RNA is filed under the name Desmophyllum pertusum. RNAcentral describes it as "tRNA-Tyr". Lineage: Eukaryota; Metazoa; Cnidaria; Anthozoa; Scleractinia; Caryophylliidae. The record is from RNAcentral.
UUAUCUUGUAGCUCAAUGGAAGAGCGUCCGACUAUACGGUGCGGAAGGUCGCAGGUUCGACUCCAGCUGGUAAA